UAGGGAAUCUUCGGCAAUGGGGGGAACCCUGACCGAGCAACGCCGCGUGAGUGAAGAAGGAUUUCGGUUCGUAAAACUCUGUUGUUAGAGAAGAACAGCGCAUAGAGUAACUGUUAUGCGUGUGACGGUAUCUAACCAGAAAGCCACGGCUAACUACGUGCCAGCAGCCGCGGUAAUACGUAGGUGGCAAGCGUUGUCCGGAUUUAUUGGGCGUAAAGCGAGCGCAGGCGGUCAAUUAAGUCUGAUGUGAAAGCCCCCGGCUCAACCGGGGAGGGUCAUUGGAAACUGGUUGACUUGAGUGCAGAAGAGGAGAGUGGAACUCCAUGUGUAGCGGUGAAAUGCGUAGAUAUAUGGAGGAACACCAGUGGCGAAGGCGACUCUCUGGUCUGUAACUGACGCUGAGGCUCGAAAGCGUGGGUAGCAAACAGG
RNAcentral lists this ribosomal RNA (429 nucleotides) under Bacteroidota bacterium. RNAcentral describes it as "Bacteroidetes bacterium partial 16S ribosomal RNA". It matches the Rfam family "Bacterial small subunit ribosomal RNA", at positions 355 to 776 of the family's 1533-position model. Lineage: Bacteria; Pseudomonadati; Bacteroidota. The record is from RNAcentral.